AACGCACAUUGCGCCCAUUAGUAUUCUAGUGGGCAUGCCUGUUCGAGCGUCAUUAAGUCCAUUAAGCCUAGUUGCUUAGCGUUGGGAGCAUUACCGCAUGGUAACUCCUUAAAGUCAGUGGCAGGGUUACGGUACACUCUAAGCGUAGUAGAUUUCUUUUCUCGCUUUUGUAGUGGCCGCGGCUGUUGCCAUAAACCUAUAUUUUUUAUUGGUUGACCUCGGAUCAGGUAGGAAUACCCGCUGAACUUAA
Molecule: unclassified non-coding RNA, 250 nt
Filed under: uncultured Xylariales
Lineage: Eukaryota; Fungi; Ascomycota; Sordariomycetes; Xylariales
Description: sequence contains 5.8S rRNA gene, ITS2, 28S rRNA gene
Source: RNAcentral